This 336-nucleotide unclassified non-coding RNA is filed under the name soil metagenome. RNAcentral describes it as "partial contains 5.8S ribosomal RNA, internal transcribed spacer 2, and large subunit ribosomal RNA". The stretch from base 1 to 120 matches the Rfam family "5.8S ribosomal RNA", at positions 35 to 154 of the family's 154-position model. The record is from RNAcentral.
GAUGAAGAACGUAGCGAAAUGCGAUAAGUAAUGUGAAUUGCAGAAUUCAGUGAAUCAUCGAAUCUUUGAACGCACAUUGCGCCCGCCAGUAUUCUGGCGGGCAUGCCUGUUCGAGCGCCAUUUCAACCAUCAAGCCCCAGGCUUGUGUUGGGGACCUGCGGCUGCCGCAGGCCCUGAAAACCAGUGGCGGGCUCGCUGUCACACCGGGCGUAGUAGAUUUUAUCUCGCUCAGGGCGUGCUGCGGGUCCCGGCCGUUAAAAGCCUUUUUUUACCCAAGGUUGACCUCGGAUCAGGUAGGAAGACCCGCUGAACUUAAGCAUAUCAAUAAGCGGAGGA